CAUGGGAUAAUGGAAUAGGACCCUGUCCUCCUAUUUUCAGUUGGUUUUGGCAGCGCGAGGACUAGGGUAAUGAUUAAUAGGGAUAGUUGGGGGCAUUAAUAUUUAAUUGUCAGAGGUGAAAUUCUUGGAUUUAUGAAAGAUUAACUUCUGCGAAAGCAUCUGCCAAGGAUGUUUUCAUUAAUCAAGAACGAAAGUUAGGGGAUCGAAGACGAUCAGAUACCGUCGUAGUCUUAACCAUAAACGAUGCCGACCAGCGAUUAGGAGACGUUGAAUACAAAACACCACCAUCGGUUGCGGUCGUCCUUGGCGUCUCGGUUUCGGCCGGGGCGCGGGGACGGUUUAGCCCGGUGGCACCGGUGAAUGA
RNAcentral lists this ribosomal RNA (364 nucleotides) under Acanthamoeba genotype T4. RNAcentral describes it as "SSU rRNA". The stretch from base 1 to 320 matches the Rfam family "Eukaryotic small subunit ribosomal RNA", at positions 808 to 1116 of the family's 1831-position model. Lineage: Eukaryota; Discosea; Longamoebia; Acanthamoebidae. The record is from RNAcentral.